Molecule: ribosomal RNA, 448 nt
Filed under: uncultured bacterium
Lineage: Bacteria
Description: bacterial SSU rRNA
Rfam family: Bacterial small subunit ribosomal RNA
Source: RNAcentral
GCCAGACUCCUACGGGAGGCAGCAGUGGGGAAUAUUGCACAAUGGGGGAAACCCUGAUGCAGCGACGCCGCGUGAGCGGUGAAGUAUUUCGGUAUGUAAAGCUCUCUCAGCAGGGAAGAAAAUGACGGUACCUGACUAAGAAGCCCCGGCUAACUACGUGCCAGCAGCCGCGGUAAUACGUAGGGGGCAAGCGUUAUCCGGAUUUACUGGGUGUAAAGGGAGCGUAGACGGAAAGGCAAGUCAGAAGUGAAAACCCAAGGCUCAACCAUGGGACUGCUUUUGAAACUGUCAAACUAGAGUACGGGAGAGGUAAGAGGAAUUCCUAGUGUAGCGGUGAAAUGCGUAGAUAUUAGGAGGAACACCAGUGGCGAAGGCGUCGUACUGGACCGAAACUGACGUUGAGGCUCGAAAGCGUGGGGAGCAAACAGGAUUAGAUACCCUGGUAAGA